GAUGAGUGGCAAGAGGAUUGGUGGCAUCCUCCUUGUUCUCAUCUCUGGCAGCAUUGCUGGCAUCCUCCUUGUUUUCGUUGCCGAUCUGCUACCACUCAUC
Molecule: microRNA precursor, 100 nt
Filed under: Oryza sativa Indica Group (long-grained rice)
Lineage: Eukaryota; Viridiplantae; Streptophyta; Magnoliopsida; Poales; Poaceae
Description: mir-166 microRNA precursor
Source: RNAcentral